AGGUCAUUUCAAAGAGGGCUUGUGGGACUAAAACCAAGAGCUCUUAACGCUGUGACCAAAUAUUGGAGUUCUCCAUAGGAUGUAAUAGUUACUCAAUAGUGCUAUGUUUUUUCCUGAGGAGAUACAGGA
Molecule: small nucleolar RNA, 129 nt
Filed under: Canis lupus familiaris (dog)
Lineage: Eukaryota; Metazoa; Chordata; Mammalia; Carnivora; Canidae
Also listed under: 3 other names
Description: Small nucleolar RNA SNORA25 (multiple genes)
Rfam family: Small nucleolar RNA SNORA25
About the family: ACA25 is a member of the H/ACA class of snoRNA that guide the sites of modification of uridines to pseudouridines.
Source: Rfam by way of RNAcentral